CAUUUAUCUAGUAAGUCACGAAAAACUACUCCGUCGUUGAAACAAAUUCCUCCUUCAUUUUAAUUUUUUUGAUUCUCGGUUGUAAUUUCUCGCAUACCCAAAUUCUAAGUGUGGUAUUUUUAUUCAUAUCCUGUUUUUUAAACAUUACUACAAUUUCACACCAGAACAUUAGAUAUUUAAUGAUUUAAGGCAGAAUAGUAGUAUUAUUAAAGCUAAGGUUUUUAUUGUCUUAUUUUAGUGCAUCUCUACAUUUGGCUUGCCGUUAAUCUAUUGUUUAGUGGAGUUUUAGUUCGCGAGAAUGUUCUCAGCACUUAGUGAGCAGAUAAUACCAACGAAAUUUUUGACAGCUGCAAUGCCGAAUCAGCGAUCAAAAAAUUCAAUUGAUGCCUUAUUGCGGGAGUUAGAGGACGUGAAGGAGAGAGGAAAGGAAACCAGUUAUGAAGAGGAUGAAGAUGAUUUCUUUGAAAUUCUCCACAAUGGAAGGAUGAAGGAAGCCAGGAGGAGAACCACGGCCCUUCAAGAGCAGCUAAAACGGGCGAAAGAUCAUUACAAUACGAUCUUUAGAGCUUAUUCAAAAUUGUUUGCCGACGCUGAGUUUGGGAGUGUUGCAGGCGGAGGUGACAGUUUGUUGAAUGCUCGCAUUGGCAAAUUCUAAUUGCGAUGACAC
Molecule: long non-coding RNA, 667 nt
Organism: Hermetia illucens (black soldier fly)
Lineage: Eukaryota; Metazoa; Arthropoda; Insecta; Diptera; Stratiomyidae
Exons: 3
Source: RefSeq, a predicted model, not a curated record